RNAcentral lists this ribosomal RNA (207 nucleotides) under uncultured bacterium. RNAcentral's name for it is "partial 16S ribosomal RNA". It matches the Rfam family "Bacterial small subunit ribosomal RNA", at positions 568 to 774 of the family's 1533-position model. The record is from RNAcentral.
UGCGUAGGCGGUUAAUCAAGUUGGUAGCGUAAUCCCAGGGCUCAACCUUGGAACUACUACCAAAACUGGUUGGCUUGAGUGCGGCAGGGGUAUGUGGAAUUCCUAGUGUAGCGGUGGAAUGCGUAGAUAUUAGGAGGAACACCAGAGGCGAAAGCGACAUACUGGGCCGUAACUGACGCUGAGACACGAAAGCGUGGGGAGCAAACA